Molecule: ribosomal RNA, 482 nt
Filed under: uncultured bacterium
Lineage: Bacteria
Description: bacterial SSU rRNA
Rfam family: Bacterial small subunit ribosomal RNA
Source: RNAcentral
CGCUGGCGGCGUGCUUAACACAUGCAAGUCGAACGAAGCACUGAUCUUGAUCUUCGGGUGACGAGAUCUUGACUUAGUGGCGGACGGGUGAGUAACGCGUGGGGAACCUGCCCCAUACCGGGGGACAACAGCUGGAAACGGCUGCUAAUACCGCAUAAGCGCACGGAGCUGCAUGGCUCAGUGUGAAAAACUCCGGUGGUAUGGGAUGGCCCCCGCGUCUGAUUAGGCAGUUGGCGGGGUAACGGCCCACCAAACCGACGAUCAGUAGCCGGCCUGAGAGGGUGGACGGCCACAUUGGGACUGAGACACGGCCCAAACUCCUACGGGAGGCAGCAGUGGGGAAUAUUGCACAAUGGGGGAAACCCUGAUGCAGCGACGCCGCGUGGGUGAAGAAGUAUUUCGGUAUGUAAAGCCCUAUCAGCAGGGAAGAAGAUGACGGUACCUGCACAAGAAGCCCCGGCUAACUACGUGCCAGCAGCCGC